This is a non-coding RNA of Callorhinus ursinus (northern fur seal), 441 nucleotides long. The record is from RefSeq and is a predicted model, not a curated record. NCBI's taxonomy places the organism in Eukaryota, Metazoa, Chordata, Mammalia, Carnivora, Otariidae.
GAAACGCGCGCUGGUUUCCCCUGCGGUCGGGAGAUCCCGAGCCUGAGGCGGGCGUGGGUGAGAAACAUCUUCCCUUCCCCUUUCACCACCCCGAGGGUCAAGGAUCGUCUUGGGCCAACUGACCUGCUUCCUCCUUCCUCCCCAGCAGCCCUGACAGUCCUGACAUUACCCAGCCAAAGCACCACGCGUCAGUCUGAGCGGCAGCUCCUACACCAAGGGCGCUCAGAAUCCCCCAGGAAACCCCCUGAGGGGUUAGCACCCCGCUAGUAGGUUUCGGUCCAAAGAUACUGAAGGGCAGACUAGGAGACAGACACAUACCUCUCUUCUGUGCUUCAGGAAUGUAUAUUCAGUUACCUCCAGACAUCUCAGUCCCAAGCGCACCUGAAACUCAAUGUUUUUGAAGAUUUUACUUAUUAUUUGAGAGAGAGCACGCAAGAGAGC